GAGCUUGCUCUUAUGAAGUUAGCGGCGGACGGGUGAGUAACACGUGGGUAACCUGCCCAUAAGACUGGGAUAACUCCGGGAAACCGGGGCUAAUACCGGAUAACAUUUUGAACUGCAUGGUUCGAAAUUGAAAGGCGGCUUCGGCUGUCACUUAUGGAUGGACCCGCGUCGCAUUAGCUAGUUGGUGAGGUAACGGCUCACCAAGGCAACGAUGCGUAGCCGACCUGAGAGGGUGAUCGGCCACACUGGGACUGAGACACGGCCCAGACUCCUACGGGAGGCAGCAGUAGGGAAUCUUCCGCAAUGGACGAAAGUCUGACGGAGCAACGCCGCGUGAGUGAUGAAGGCUUUCGGGUCGUAAAACUCUGUUGUUAGGGAAGAACAAGUGCUAGUUGAAUAAGCUGGCACCUUGACGGUACCUAACCAGAAAGCCACGGCUAACUACGUG
Molecule: ribosomal RNA, 448 nt
Filed under: Bacillus proteolyticus
Lineage: Bacteria; Bacillati; Bacillota; Bacilli; Caryophanales; Bacillaceae
Description: bacterial SSU rRNA
Rfam family: Bacterial small subunit ribosomal RNA
Source: RNAcentral